CCAAUAGCGUAUAUUAAAGUUGUUGCAGUUAAAAAGCUCGUAGUUGAACUUCGGGGUUUACCCAUUGGUCAGGCUUAAUUGUCUGUACUGGUGAGAUAAAUCUCUACCUUCUGAGGAACUUUCAUGUCAUUAAUUUGGUGUGAUUGGAAAUCAGGACUGUUACUUUGAAAAAAUUAGAGUGUUUAAAGCAGGCUAACGUCUGAAUACAUUAGCAUGGAAUAAUGAAAUAGGACGGAUUGAUUCUAUUUCGUUGGUUUCUAGGAUCACCGUAAUGAUUAAUAGGGAUAGUUGGGGGCAUUAGUAUUCAAUUGUCAGAGGUGAAAUUCUUGGAUUUAUUGAAGACUAACUACUGCGAAAGCAUUUGCCAAGGAUGUUUUCAUUAAUCAAGAACGAAAGUUAGGGGAUCGAAGACGAUCAGAUACCGUCGUAGUCUUAACCAUAAACUAUGCCGACUAGGGAUCGGACGAAGUUAAUUUUAUAAUGACGCGUUCGGCACCUUACG
This 502-nucleotide unclassified non-coding RNA is filed under the name uncultured Entrophospora. RNAcentral's name for it is "SSU rRNA". It matches the Rfam family "Eukaryotic small subunit ribosomal RNA", at positions 591 to 1092 of the family's 1831-position model. The record is from RNAcentral. Lineage: Eukaryota; Fungi; Glomeromycota; Glomeromycetes; Entrophosporales; Entrophosporaceae.